UUGCUCUCACUAUGGACGGGCCGUGUGCAUAUGAGCUGCAAGACGGACCUCUUUCGGAUCUAUCAAACAUUGGGCCACGUUUCCCUGAUGAUCUCACCAACAGUAUUGUUCAGAAUAACCUCGCCUCAUAGACCUUCAAGUCCUUGGGUGCCGGUUAGCUCUAUAUAGAAGUUCAUUGAAGUUUUCAUCCAGGGAACCGCAAUGCUGGAUUCGUCAGAUGUCAAGACCUUGCACGACCACUGGAAUGACAUCGCCUCCAACAUGCUGCUUCGCAUAGUCAUCGCAGGCUGUGCGAGUUGCCGACGUCUUCUCGAAGAAAUUCUCGAUAUCUCGCUCAACUGAAUACUCCAUAUUACUGGCGGCCACAAUGGAUAUAGAUUACAGAGUUAGGUCAUUGAUAGACGAAGCAUUGCCUCAGUCGGGACAGCUAGCGUGAGGUUAGAGCAUGGAAAUGCAGAUAGUGUGUUUGAAUCAAUACCGCGUUGCUGCCUGGAGAUACGGGCCUUGAUGGGGUUUCUCGAUGCACGGGAUACCAUACUUGUCUGAACGAUCCAUGCGCGCAACCUUGGACGAAAUUCCUGUACUAGUUUUAAACACCCAACUCAACUUCAUCCCUUUCAUCCAUUCCAUUACAUUGCUUACAGUUAUGAGGUAUGGGCAGUGACCUAAACAUGAUGUUAAUGUUAUAAACCCCACACAUCUAUCUGCCAGCGGGGUUGAACCAGUUCAUCAAUCAGACACUCAAACAACCAGCGUAUCGGCCCAGCUGGGAAUACAAAGUGUGCAUGCACGUUCAGCAAUCCGUGGAGGAGAUUCCACGGCUACACAUUGCCUCAGACAGUGUUCGGUAUACAGUGUUCCUCCUCCUCUAUCCGUCGAUGGAUGUUUGUAUCAUUGCCAGUUUCUAGAAAUCAUCUUCCCAUGUUGUAUCUACUUGAAUUUCUGGAACAUCUGUCAAAUAAAUCAUCUGGGCAGCCAUUGUUAACUCCUUGCUUAUUUCUUGUUCUUUUUUACACAGACUCUGUUGUUAGCUCAUGGCAACAUUCGUGUUGAGAGCGGGGAUGUCAAACGGGUUGGGUCAAUGAUAUUUCCUCACGGCCGGUAUGUAUGGGUAACAGCCCGGGAUUGGGCUGCAACAGUGCUCCAUUUCAUUGGGUUUCGAUCUCGUCGCCCAAUAUCUAGCUCUCGACUCUGUAUACUGGUUGAAAUCGAGGAGAAACUGGUUCGAUUGCUUGUUCACCGCGUUAUUUAUGUCCAACAUCACCUCCGUGAGACGCUCGAUUUGCUGUUUUGUUGGUCGCGAGGUAAGUGUGG
RNAcentral lists this small RNA (1314 nucleotides) under Histoplasma ohiense. RNAcentral describes it as "hypothetical lncRNA". Lineage: Eukaryota; Fungi; Ascomycota; Eurotiomycetes; Onygenales; Ajellomycetaceae. The record is from RNAcentral.